UAGGUCUGAUGGGGGGACUCCGGCUCGGAGCUGGGCCCCGAGGCCGCCAGGGAGGGGACUGCGGGCGACGCCGGGAUUUUGCUUUGGGUAACUGGGUAGAUGGGGGCGCCAUUAUCGCGCUUCUCUUGUAGGGCGCCGGUGAAGGUUAUACGAGAAACUCCAUCUGUCCUUAUUGAAAGUGCUCUAACGCAGGAACCAGCCGUCUUGCUGACGCCUGGGCCACCGGGCACAGGGACAGGACGGGGUUGCUGGACGUGCAAGCUGGGAGAAAGCAGAGAACUGACUCCGUGCAGAGUUGGGAUUAAGAGCCCCUAGACAAAGGGCCGAGGCAGUGAAGGAUGUUCAUCACUCAUCUACCACUAUCCUCCUCACAUUUAAUCCUCACAACACCCCUGUGAGGUUUAUCCGCUUCACCUGUUGCCGGGGAACACUGCUCUCUGGGGGACGACACUGUAAACAUGACUUCCUGGCCUGAUGGUGGCAGGGCUUUGUGUGCGAGUCACUGUCCAGGGACAGUACUGAGGUAGACCACGGUGACGUCGAGGAUGCCGCUGGGGGCUGUCACUGCAGGAAGGUUGGUGGGGAGGGAGGUCAUGUCACACCCAAGCAUCAGGGGAGACCCCCUGCCAGGUCAGGACCCUGAAGUCCAGGUCAAGAAUCUUCUACCUUGCUAUAGUCCCCUGUGUUACCCUCCUGUGGUGAGAAGCGUGGGUGACAUGCCUCUUCCAAGUUGGACAGCUGCCCGCCAUGACUCCAACAACGGUGGAGAUGACAAGUUGGCCAUCUAGCUCAAGCCAAGUGGACGCAGAAGCAAGCAACCGGGAAAUUGACAGGACUCACACUAACUGGGCUUCUGG
Molecule: long non-coding RNA, 857 nt
Filed under: Pongo abelii (Sumatran orangutan)
Lineage: Eukaryota; Metazoa; Chordata; Mammalia; Primates; Hominidae
Description: lincRNA
Source: RNAcentral